UUUCUGUAGCCUGUCAUGGCUGCUAAAGCAGGGGGCUGAUCCCACGACUUAGGUACCCUCUGAUGGACUAUGCCUUCCUUCAGAAGAAAAGCACAUGAAAGGCCUUGUGCUAGGCUCUGAGACUGCACUGGAAUGGUGGAGCAGGUGCUAUUGAUGCUGGCUGGGUUACUCAGAGAUGAAAGAAGACUUGCAGAGAGAGGGCGAUAAGAUUCUGGAAGCAAUGAAACUUACAGGCUUCAAGAAUCUCAGAAAGUUGCUGGACUCACAGGAUGUGUCUCCAGGUCACACGGGCAGCAGGCAUUGCAAAGCGAAAGAAGACUCUUCAGGGGAGCUGCCUGCUACCUGCCGAAAAAGUGCCAGGGAUGGAGCUUCUGGGAGUGUCACCAACUACGAGUGGGAUUUUUAGUGAUGCAGCUACCUUUGAGUCAAUUCAUGCUGCAAUACACCAAUUGGUUCGCCAGGCUGGUCUUGGUGGAACUGUUUACUUAUUCUGGCAUUUGGUCUUUUGUUGGUGCACCACAUGAAGUGAACAAAUGUUUGUUCAUGUGUCCUCAGGAAGUUAUGUAACACAGGGCUUAAAAAUUAACCACCGUUUCUUUGUGUGUGUGUAUGUGUGUGUUUCAGUCUAUCCACAAUGGAAAUUAGAAUGGAGGUUCUUCAAAAACUAAUAAAUAGACCUGCCACUACUGGGAAUUUACUCCAAGACUUCAAGUCAAUACACUACAGAGGUAUUUACACAUCAGUGUCUUUUGUAGCAGUUUCCACAAUAGCUAAGCUAUGGAACCGACCUAGGUGAACAUCAACAGAGGGAUGGAUAAGAAAAAUUUGGUGUAUUUAGAUGAUGAAAUUUUUUCCAACUAUAAUGAAGAAUGCAGUUGUGUUGUUUGUAGGAAAAUGGAUGCACUAGGAGAUAACUGUGAGAAGUGAGUUGAUCCAGUAUUAGAAAGAUACAUAUGUCUUCUCUCAUGUGGUGCCCAGAUUUUGUAUAAACUUAUAAACUAGUGUAUGUCUAUAAAUCAUGAAAGUAUAGUGAUUGUAGGAAAUAAGAAAUCAAGAUUGAUCUAAGUUGGAAGCUCCUUCUCUGCUGGCUAGCUUUUGUAGUGUUGGAAGGUGUUACAUUAUGUAAACUACUGGUGGUGAAAAGUCAUCAACCAAUAUACCCAGCUGUGCACCCCAUAAGAUACAGUUGUGCCCACUGGUGUAAUAGUGUCAUGAGUAUUAUGGGGAUAACCAACUGCUUUCUGAUUAUAAUUGAGGCCUGUUCAUAGGAGGGAAAUCGUUCCUGGUUCCGUAAACCUGGCCAAAAGAUAUGGUUGGGGAAGUCAUGGCCCCAGUGAGAAAGUUACUGCUGUUGUUUUGCUAAAUGAAUCUGGU
Long non-coding RNA from Mesocricetus auratus (golden hamster), 1374 nucleotides. RefSeq lists it as uncharacterized. Lineage: Eukaryota; Metazoa; Chordata; Mammalia; Rodentia; Cricetidae. The transcript has 3 exons. The record is from RefSeq and is a predicted model, not a curated record.